Molecule: long non-coding RNA, 4677 nt
Organism: Columba livia (rock pigeon)
Lineage: Eukaryota; Metazoa; Chordata; Aves; Columbiformes; Columbidae
Exons: 3
Source: RefSeq, a predicted model, not a curated record
GGGGGGGUGGUGGUGCGUGGGUGAGCCCGCCGCGGUGGUCACGGGUGGGUGAAGCGGCAGCAGGACACGGCUCCGCAAAGGGAUGAGCAACCCGCGGGAACACGCGGCGGGGAGGGAACCCCGGUGGAUGGGGGGCGGGGUGCAUGUGUGAGCCCACCGCGGUGGUCACGAGUGGGUGAAGCGGCAGCAGGACACGACCCCGCAAAGGGCUGUGCAACCUGCGGCAACACGCAGUGUGGGGGCAGGAACACGUGGGAUGGGGGGGGGCGGUGUGUGGGUGAACCCGCCGCGGUGGUCACGGGUGGGUGAAGCGGCAGAACAUAGGCCCGCAAAGGGCUGGGGGGGGCUUAGCGCUCCCCCUGCCGCACUCCAUAUCCCAGGGCUUGCAGCCCCAUGUAUGGGAAGCCCCCGUGAUUUCCCACUCGGGAUGCGCUGGCUCCACAAGCUCCCAGCACCAAAUGGACUUUUUUAUUGCCUCUGUUGUUUUAGCCAUAAGAUAUUUGGUUUUAUUCUGCUGCUGACUCACCCCACGUGGUGCACAAAGAUGCUCCUGGACACGCGGCUUUGCUGGGCUGCUUUUCUUCCCCUUCCCGUUGUUCUUUCCCUCCAAACACGCGUCAGAAAGCGAGGAAGAGGCGCCAGGUCACCUUAUUGCACCUUUCUGGAAUUAAAAGGGGCCUGAAAGAAAGAUGGGACAGACUUUUGAGCAGGGCCUGUUGUGAUAGGACAAGGGGUGAUGGGUUUAAACUAAAGGAGGGAGAUCCAGGCUGGACAUGAGGAAGGAAUUGUUGUUCCUGAGGGUGGUGAGAGCCUGUCCCAGGUUGGCCAGAGAGGUGGUAGAUGAACCAUCCCUGGAGACAUCCCAGGCCAGGCUGGACGGGGCUCUGAGCAACCUGAGCUGGUGAAGAUGUCCCUGCUCAUGGCAGGGGGGGCACUGGGGGAGCUGGGAACGUCCCUUCCCACCCAAACUACUCUAUGCUUCUGUUCUAAAUUAUCAACAUCCUAUGGAGUAUGGUCUGUGGAGCUAGAAUAUCCGUUUAUCACUAUAUGCAAAGGUGAAAAAGCAAUUACCUCGAUGACCCCUCUGCAGUUUCUAUAUUGAGGUCUUGAUCUCUUUUACCUUAAAAGUCAAACAAAUAAACAACAAAAAAUCCCUCAACAACAAAAACACACAUUCAACCCUUCAGCAAUUACAACAACAAAAUUUUAGAUCCAGCUUAAAUGCCUAAGGUGAAAUUCUACAUCCAACUUAAACACCCAAGAUAAGGAUGUAAUACCCGAUGUUUUGGAAUUGAAUCAAGGCUCUUCCAUCUCAUCCAGAUGACAGCCCACUUAAAAUCUUCAUUUUGGGUACUGGAAACAGCACGGAAAGCUUUAUCAGUUUCCACACAGCACAGAUACCUUUCCAAAGUCAGCAUCUUACAUCGGUGUGUUGCUUUUAUCUACCAAAACCAUCAUCUCCUUAAAAGCAUGAAUAGAAAUCUGCACGGCGUUAAUAGCGACAAAACCUCGCUCUGCAUUUUGAACACAAACUUUCCCAAUGGCUCAGUCCCGAUCGAUCCUGCUUCAGCAUCACAAGGAAAAUAAAUCACUUUUCUCUUUAUUUAACCAUUUUACCCACUGCUAUUGUUGGUUAUUUGUCACUGGCAGGUCUCUUUUUUCAGCUGCUGUCCCACGACCAGACUUAUUCCUGCAGGAAAUGAAUCAGCUAAGCCUCAUCACCAAAUGCUUUUAUCAUUUGUAAAAUGUCUGUAGUGCCAAGAAAACUCUGCCAGACCAUCAGCUACUGUGACGUUUUCUCAUUCUUUCUCCUAUGCCUUCGCAUUCAGCCGUUGCCUCUUGGCCUUGUGAAACUCUUGGGAUGCGUCUUCCUUUUGUUCGUGCACCGUGAGGGGGGUCCUGCUCUUUGCUUCUGGCUCCAAAGAACGACAGUAGCGGUGAGAACAGCAAGAAGAAAGUGCAUGGAAAGAAUUCCUGGCUGCUUCAGCCAAAAGAAGGUGACGAUCAUCCAGGGAUUGGCGUGAUGGGCAUCGUAUCGAAGCAGUGUGUGGCUCGGUGAUGACCUUUCCAUACCCAUAGUGGCUUGGCGGGGAUAAAAAGGCUCCCACCCAGACGUGCUUGGAAAAUAACACUUCAUUACAGCCAAUAAUUUAAUGGAGAAAUUCCUAGUUUUGAUGAAUUUUUCACUGGCCGAAUCACAAGCUCUUCACAGGUGGGUGCUGCGUUGGUUUCUUUGCACCCAACGUAGUGAAUCAGAGCGGAGCCACGAGAUGCGGAGGUAGAAAGGAUGUAAGAGGAGUUAGUCUUUCUUAGGAGUAAAAAGCUAAAGUCAGUACGUUAUAUAAAUGAAUAUGCCAAAAUAUUUAACACUCUGGAGUCUGCUGGUGAUCUUGGGGAAGGACUAGACAGGUUUUUCAGCAGCAACAUUGGAUUUGAGAGGUUUCCACGGGCGUGCAUCCAGCAAUGAGACCCUUUCAAUGCUCUUUCCACGUGAGCAAAACAUCUCAGAGCGCGGUCACAAUUCUUCUUGGAGACUAAAGUCAGAAGCUUUUUGCAAAACAAAUGUCUUUAAUGCUUCUUUUUGGCUUCGUGGGGCGAAAACAAUGGCACAAUGAGAAGAGUUGAAGAUGUUCUUGUUAAGGAUCAUUCAUUUGCACAAGCCAGAGAUUGAUUUUUUUUUGCUUUUGGUCAGCUCUUCAGCAUCAGGGAGUGAUUAUUGCCAUUCUGCAAAUUUCUCAUUCUACAUUUAGAAACUUGAGAGUGUUUUCCACACCCUCCAUUCUUCCUGCCUGGUUUUUCCUCUAUUUUUCAUUCCUUUUCUCCAAUGAGGGAGUAGGAUUAGCAGGAGGGGAGAGGGAGGAAUUGUUCUCUUCAUUUUCUUUUAAACUUAUAAAACGGUUUUUUCUUCUCAAUUAUAAAACACAGAACCCACGCAGCAGAAUUUCAUGAGAUUGGUGUUAGUUUCCUUCUUGGCUCCUUCUGCAUCAUUUGUUUCUGAGAUGAUGUGGAGGAGGGAUAGAGAUGGGGCUGGAGAAUGAACCGGGAGAGAGAAGCUACAGCAAACUCAGGGUGCACUGAGCGAUAGUUCUGGGCGGCUCCACGUGUAAUAUGGGGGUGCAGACAUCUGUGGUCCCCAAAAAGUCCCGCUCUGCGGUGAAAAAACAUCCUUGUAUCACCCUGUGCGAUCUCUUUUUUGUCAUCAACCCCUCACGCCACCAAUUAUUAUCUAUUUAGCGCAUACGCGGCACAGUUUCUACUCAGGAUAUUUUUAUGUGAGCAUCAAACCGGGGUGAAAACAGGCCUUGGUGUCUUUGUUUCGCGGCCAUUCCUUACCCCACGUAGUUUCUCCUCCUCUCUUCAGCCUUUCAAAUGAGCAGGCUUUAUAGAACCAAUGAAUUCUUCAUCUCCCUCGACAGGUUUACAGAAGAGGUUAAUCUCCGUCAGGUUAUGAAAUCAGCUCACAUGCUUCAGCAGCAUUACCCGCUCUUGAUGUCCCCCUUCGGACCCCAUUGAGCUCCCUUUGUUGGAGGUAACCCCUUCUCCUGCUUUUUCUAAGCUGAUUUCUUAGGCUACAUCAUUCAAGCAUCCAUCCUCGUGGUAUUUAGAUGUAGUAAAAAUGACUGGGGGGGUAUGUGUGUGGGGGAAAUAAAUAGCAGCCAGCGAGCCAACUAAACUGUCUGACUAUUAAUGGUGCUGUUAGUUGCAAAUUUACUUUACCACAAAGCCCCCAGCAUGUAAUCCUGAGAUGAAUGCCUUUGAUUGUGAGGGGAAUAUUUACAGCUGACCCUGCCAGCAGUCUGCAAACCUGCAGCGGGCCUCCUGUCCCACAUUAAAUCCGCUGGCAUCUGUCCCCGGGUUCUUAUCGAGCACAUGCUCCGGCGGCGCGGUGUUUGGGCUGGCGGAUACGCCGGGCCUUGAAGAAUAAAUCCCCGCAUUCCUGCGAAACGCUAAUUCUCGUGAAGGUUGUCACGCCGGGAGGAACGUUACAGUUCGUACCUGGCUCCGGGCAUCGCCGGAGGUUUCCAGAAUGCUUUGAUCCCCACCGGUUGCCCCUCUUCCCACGGCAGGUCCUGCUGCCAGGCCACCCGUCGCCAAGGCCAAACUUCUUCUUGGCCACUUUUUUGUUGUGUUGUUUUCCCAUGAGUGGCACAGUGAUUUUUAUGAUGAUUUUUUUAUCUCUUUUCACCUCACAUUAGUCCCCAGGUUGCUCUGAUUGUUGUUCAGGCUCCAUCUCCGGCCCCAGCGGUGCAGGAGCACAGGGUGAAAGCUCAAUGUGUCUCAGCAAAUAUUCCCCGUGGCUGACGGGACAAGCUUGAAUUCAGCAACUUGUCAUUCCCCGCACGUCCCGUGGUCCGUGAGGUGGAUCCAGAUCGCUUGGCCUCUUUGUGUCAGACACAAGAGCCGGUGGUGGGUGCUUGUCCUGCUCCAAGCACCCUCCAGACAAGGACAUCUGUAGAGAAAAAGUGUGACAAACAGUUUGGGGCUCAGGAAUAAGCAGCACAAGAUAACGCUGUGUAUCAUCAAGCUUUCGACCUCAGGAGGUGAUAGAAAUCUUUGCUGUGCUUGUGAUGAGCCUUUCCCGGGAGGAUGCUGCCAGCAGGAGCUUCCAGAGGACAAAGCGGAGGAGCUGUUCAGGUCUGGAUCUUUGCUUUUGAGUGAGGAGUGGCACCAAGGGAG